ACUGUCCUUAUCGGGGGCUGCGAGCUUGCUCAAGGAUCGCUAAGUGAGAGCAAGACUGCUAACACCCGUGAAAUACGUUUACCGCACCGCCUGCCUGAAUAGGUGGGUCAGGGUGCAAUUUUUGGGGCC
This 129-nucleotide non-coding RNA is filed under the name Haliotis rufescens (red abalone). RNAcentral describes it as "U4atac minor spliceosomal RNA". It matches the Rfam family "U4atac minor spliceosomal RNA". From Rfam's summary of the family: U4atac is an essential component of the minor U12-type spliceosome complex which is required for removal of the rarer class of eukaryotic introns (AT-AC, U12-type). These interacting stem loops have been shown to be required for in vivo splicing. U4atac also contains an 3' Sm protein binding site which has been shown to be essential for splicing activity. Lineage: Eukaryota; Metazoa; Mollusca; Gastropoda; Lepetellida; Haliotidae. The record is from RNAcentral.